This 396-nucleotide ribosomal RNA is filed under the name uncultured bacterium. Its description in RNAcentral is "bacterial SSU rRNA". It matches the Rfam family "Bacterial small subunit ribosomal RNA", at positions 30 to 429 of the family's 1533-position model. The record is from RNAcentral.
AUUGAACGCUGGCGGCAUGCCUUACACAUGCAAGUCGAACGGCAGCACGGGAGCAAUCCUGGUGGCGAGUGGCGAACGGGUGAGUAAUAUAUCGGAACGUGCCCAGUCGUGGGGGAUAACGUAGCGAAAGCUACGCUAAUACCGCAUACGAUCUAAGGAUGAAAGCGGGGGAUCGCAAGACCUCGCGCGAUUGGAGCGGCCGAUAUCAGAUUAGCUAGUUGGUGAGGUAAAGGCUCACCAAGGCGACGAUCUGUAGCUGGUCUGAGAGGACGACCAGCCACACUGGGACUGAGACACGGCCCAGACUCCUACGGGAGGCAGCAGUGGGGAAUUUUGGACAAUGGGCGCAAGCCUGAUCCAGCAAUGCCGCGUGCAGGAUGAAGGCCUCGGUGUAAC